UCCAGCGCCGAAAGUACUUGGUGGGCAACUGCCUGGGAUCCCAUACCGAACACAGAAGUAAAGUCUUCCAGCGCCGAAAGUACUUGGUGGGCAACUGCCUGGGAGGAUAGGACAUUGCGGGAC
RNAcentral lists this ribosomal RNA (123 nucleotides) under Acetobacterium sp. KB-1. The record is from RNAcentral. Lineage: Bacteria; Bacillati; Bacillota; Clostridia; Eubacteriales; Eubacteriaceae.